GAACGUGAGGGUGCAGCGAUGUGCCUGAAAGUGGCAGACGGGUGAGUAACACGUAGGUGACCUGCCCUGAAGAGGGGGAUAACCACUGGAAACGGUGGCUAAAACCGUAUAAGCCUGUUGAGAUGGGAAGAUUGACAGGGAAAGUUGAGGCGCUUCAGGAGGGGCCUGCGGCCGAUUAGCUAGUUGGAGUGGUAAAGGCACCCCAAGGCGAUGAUCGGUAGCUGGUCUGAGAGGAUGAUCAGCCACACGGGAACUGAGAAACGGUCCCGACUCCUACGGGGGGCAGCAGUGAGGAAUAUUGGGCAAUGGGGGGAACCCUGACCCAGCAACGCCGCGUGGAGGAUGAAGGUCUUUGGAUUGUAAACUCCUUUUCUGGGGGACGAGAGAGGACGGUACCCCAGGAAUAAGUCACGGCUAACUACGUGCCAGCAGCCGCGGUAAUACGUAGGUGGCAAGCGUUAUCCGGAAUUAUUGGGCGUAAAGCGCAAGCAGGCGGCAUUUUAAGUCUGACGUGAAAUUUCCUGGCUUAACUGGGAGGGGUCGUUGGAGACUGGAAAGCUAGAGGCGAUGAGAGGGGCAUGGAAUUCCCGGUGUAGUGGUGGAAUGCGUAGAUAUCGGGAGGAACACCAGAGGCGAAAGCGAUGUCCUGGCAUGAGCCUGACGCUGAGAUGCGAAAGCGUGGGGAGCGAACGGGAUUAGAUACCCCGGUAGUCCACGCGGUAAACGAUGAAUACUGGGUGUAGGCGGGGUUAGAGCCGUCUGUGCCGAAGCAAACGCGUUAAGUAUUCCGCCUGGGGAGUACGGUCGCAAGGCUAAAACUCAAAGGAAUUGACGGGGGCCCGCACAAGCAGCGGAGCGUGUGGUUUAAUUCGAUGCGACACGAAGAACCUUACCUGGGUUUGACAUAAUGGUAGUAGUGAAGUGAAAGCGGAACGACCCUUCGGGGAGCCAUUACAGGUGUUGCAUGGCUGUCGUCAGCUCGUGUCGUGAGAUGUUGGGUUAAGUCCCGCAACGAGCGCAACCCUUGUCGCUAGUUACAAGUGUCUAGCGAGACUGCCGGUAUCAAGCUGGAGGAAGGUGGGGAUGACGUCAAGUCAGCAUGACCUUUAUAUCCAGGGCUACACACACGCUACAAUGGGCGGUACAGUGGGAAGCGAAGCCGUGAGGCGGAGCGGAUCCAAAAAGCCGUUCGUAGUUCGAAUUGCAGGCUGCAACUCGCCUGCAUGA
RNAcentral lists this ribosomal RNA (1227 nucleotides) under uncultured bacterium. RNAcentral describes it as "bacterial SSU rRNA". It matches the Rfam family "Bacterial small subunit ribosomal RNA", at positions 64 to 1323 of the family's 1533-position model. The record is from RNAcentral.